AUCUGAGUGGGACUGAUGAAAUGGAUAUGGGUGUCAAUGCCUCCUGCGGUGAGGAUAAGUCCCUCGCCCGCAAUGGCUUCCGUGGACGCUCCGAAAACGAGGGAGGGGGUCACUCCGUCCAUUAUAUCGGGAUUUCCCGCCUUGCCUAUGCCGCAUAUCCUGCCGUCCUUUAUGCCGAUAUCAGCCUUGUAAAUUCCCGUGGAAUCAAUGACGACGGCACUGGUGAUCACCGUGUCUGGGCAGCUGCUGUCAGGCUCGGAGCUGGAUUGUCCCAUUCCGUCACG
Molecule: small RNA, 284 nt
Filed under: pig gut metagenome
Description: 5' ureB small RNA
Rfam family: 5' ureB small RNA
Source: RNAcentral